AGUGAACGCUGGCGGUAGGCCUAACACAUGCAAGUCGAACGGCAGCACAGUAAGAGCUUGCUCUUACGGGUGGCGAGUGGCGGACGGGUGAGGAAUACAUCGGAAUUUACUUUUUCGUGGGGGAUAACGUAGGGAAACUUACGCUAAUACCGCAUACGACCUACGGGUGAAAGCAGGGGAUCUUCGGACCUUGCGCGAUUGAAUGAGCCGAUGUCGGAUUAGCUAGUUGGCGGGGUAAAGGCCCACCAAGGCGACGAUCCGCAGCUGGUCUGAGAGGAUGAUCAGCCACACUGGAACUGAGACACGGUCCAGACUCCUACGGGAGGCAGCAGUGGGGAAUAUUGGACAAUGGGCGCAAGCCUGAUCCAGCCAUACCGCGUGGGUGAAGAAGGCCUUCGGGUUGUAAAGCCCUUUUGUUGGGAAAGAAAAGCAGCAGGUUAAUACCCCGCUGUUCUGACGGUACCCAAAGAAUAAGCACCGGCUAACUUCGUG
RNAcentral lists this ribosomal RNA (492 nucleotides) under uncultured bacterium. RNAcentral describes it as "partial 16S ribosomal RNA". It matches the Rfam family "Bacterial small subunit ribosomal RNA", at positions 29 to 507 of the family's 1533-position model. The record is from RNAcentral.